This 316-nucleotide ribosomal RNA is filed under the name uncultured eukaryote. RNAcentral's name for it is "partial 18S ribosomal RNA". It matches the Rfam family "Eukaryotic small subunit ribosomal RNA", at positions 1470 to 1796 of the family's 1831-position model. The record is from RNAcentral.
CCCCUAGAUGUUCUGGGCCGCACGCGCGCUACACUGACCGGCGCAACAAGUUUCUUUCCUUGGCUCGAUAGGCCUGGGUAAUCUUUGAACGCCGGUCGUGAUGGGGAUAGAUCCUUGCAAUUUUUGAUCUUCAACGAGGAAUUCCUAGUAAAUGCGAGUCAUCAUCUCGCGUUGAUUACGUCCCUGCCCUUUGUACACACCGCCCGUCGCACCUACCGAUUGAAUGGUCCGGUGAAGCCUCGGGAUUGCGAAUGCUUCGUGCGGACGCGAGAACUUGGCUAAACCUUACCAUUUAGAGGAAGGUGAAGUCGUAACA